This 592-nucleotide ribosomal RNA is filed under the name Chaetothyriales sp. A860. RNAcentral's name for it is "SSU rRNA". It matches the Rfam family "Bacterial small subunit ribosomal RNA", at positions 482 to 1155 of the family's 1533-position model. Lineage: Eukaryota; Fungi; Ascomycota; Eurotiomycetes; Chaetothyriales. The record is from RNAcentral.
AUCUAUAAGUCUUGUCUAAAUUACGUGCCAGCAGACGCGGUAAUACGUAGAAGACUAGUGUUAUUCAUCUUUAAUGGGUUUAAAGGGUACCUAGACGGAAAAUCAAGCCAAAUAAAGGGACUAAUAUUCUAGAGUUUUAUAAAAGAAGAUGGAAUUUUCGGAGUAGAGUUGAAAUUCAGUUAUACCGUGAAGACUGGUAACGGCGAAGGCAAUCUUCUAUGUAAAAACUGACGUUGAGGGACGAAGCCUAGGGUAACGAUAAGGAUUAGAGACCCUAAUAGUCCUAGGAGAAAAUUAUGAAUGUCAUAAGCUAGAUUAUUUUAGUUUAUAAAUGAAAGUGUAAGCAUUCCACCUCAUGAGUAAAGCGGCAACGCUCAAAUUGAAAUCAUUAGACCGUUUCUGAAACCAGUAGUGAAGUAUGUUAUUUAAUUCGAUGAUCCGCGAAUAACCUUACCACAAUUUGAAUAUUUUACAAGUGCUGCACGGCUGUCUUUAGCUAAUGUCGUGAGAUUUGGUUAACUCCUCUAAUUAGCGCAAGCCCUUGCUUUAUUUAUUUUUUUCAUAAAGUAGUUCACCAAUAUAUCAGUACAGA